RNAcentral lists this ribosomal RNA (492 nucleotides) under uncultured bacterium. RNAcentral's name for it is "partial 16S ribosomal RNA". It matches the Rfam family "Bacterial small subunit ribosomal RNA", at positions 29 to 507 of the family's 1533-position model. The record is from RNAcentral.
AGUGAACGCUGGCGGUAGGCCUAACACAUGCAAGUCGAACGGCAGCACAGUAAGAGCUUGCUCUUACGGGUGGCGAGUGGCGGACGGGUGAGGAAUACAUCGGAAUCUACUUUUUCGUGGGGGAUAACGUAGGGAAACUUACGCUAAUACCGCAUACGACCUACGGGUGAAAGCAGGGGAUCUUCGGACCUUGCGCGAUUGAAUGAGCCGAUGUCGGAUUAGCUAGUUGGCGGGGUAAAGGCCCACCAAGGCGACGAUCCGUAGCUGGUCUGAGAGGAUGAUCAGCCACACUGGAACUGAGACACGGUCCAGACUCCUACGAGAGGCAGCAGUGGGGAAUAUUGGACAAUGGGCGCAAGCCUGAUCCAGCCAUACCGCGUGUGUGAAGAAGGCCUUCGGGUUGUAAAGCCCUUUUGUUGGGAAAGAAAAGCAGCAGGUUAAUACCCCGCUGUUCUGACGGUACCCAAAGAAUAAGCACCGGCUAACUUCGUG